RNAcentral lists this long non-coding RNA (227 nucleotides) under Anas platyrhynchos platyrhynchos (common mallard). Its description in RNAcentral is "lncRNA (ENSAPLG00000023959.1)". The record is from RNAcentral. Lineage: Eukaryota; Metazoa; Chordata; Aves; Anseriformes; Anatidae.
AGGAAGAGCUCGAGGUAGUGCCUCCUGUCAUUAAGCUAAAGAAUUUCUCACUGAAUCAUCUGAAGCAUAACAUUGAUGAGACACAGUUAACCUGUAUUCUUGUCUGCUGCGGAGUGGAGGAAUAAAAGCUUUCUGGUAUGUAAGUUCAAAGAAAUGGACCUUUUACCAGAUUUGAACAGUUGUCUUGGGAAUGCAGAUUUAUGAAAAUUGAUACCCUGUCUUUGUCC